AGACCCGAAACCCGGUGAUCUAGCCAUGGGCAGGUUGAAGGUUGGGUAACACUAACUGGAGGACCGAACCGACUAAUGUUGAAAAAUUAGCGGAUGACCUGUGGCUGGGGGUGAAAGGCCAAUCAAACCGGGAGAUAGCUGGUUCUCCCCGAAAGCUAUUUAGGUAGCGCCUCGUGAAUUCAUCUCCGGGGGUAGAGCACUGUUUCGGCUAGGGGGCCAUCCCGGCUUACCAACCCGAUGCAAACUGCGAAUACCGGAGAAUGUUAUCACGGGAGACACACGGCGGGUGCUAACGUCCGUCGUGAAGAGGGAAACAACCCAGACCGCCAGCUAAGGUCCCAAAGUCAUGGUUAAGUGGGAAACGAUGUGGGAAGGCCCAGACAGCCAGGAUGUUGGCUUAGAAGCAGCCAUCAUUUAAAGAAAGCGUAAUAGCUCACUGGUCGAGUCGGCCUGCGCGGAAGAUGUAACGGGGCUAAACCAUGCACCGAAGCUGCGGCAGCGAACGUAUCACUUAAAGCGAUUCAGCGGGUUACGAUUGACGGAGCGAAGCGACGUCAAAGCGUAUACAAAGUCGAGUCGGUUUAAGGAUACGUUCGUUGGGUAGGGGAGCGUUCUGUAAGCCUGUGAAGGUGGCCUGUGAGGGUUGCUGGAGGUAUCAGAAGUGCGAAUGCUGACAUAAGUAACGAUAAAGCGGGUGAAAAGCCCGCUCGCCGGAAGACCAAGGGUUCCUGUCCAACGUUAAUCGGGGCAGGGUGAGUCGACCCCUAAGGCGAGGCCGAAAGGCGUAGUCGAUGGGAAACGGGUUAAUAUUCCCGUACUUGGUGUUACUGCGAAGGGGGGACGGAGAAGGCUAUGUUGGCCGGGCGACGGUU
This 872-nucleotide ribosomal RNA is filed under the name Salmonella enterica subsp. enterica serovar Bovismorbificans. Its description in RNAcentral is "partial 23S ribosomal RNA". It matches the Rfam family "Bacterial large subunit ribosomal RNA", at positions 711 to 1503 of the family's 2925-position model. RNAcentral also lists the same sequence under 3 other names. The record is from RNAcentral. Lineage: Bacteria; Pseudomonadati; Pseudomonadota; Gammaproteobacteria; Enterobacterales; Enterobacteriaceae.